GUUGGGGUGGCUCGAGUGGCGAACGGGUGAGUAACACGUGAGUAACCUGCCCUUGACUUUGGGGUAACUUCAGGAAACUGGGGCUAAUACCGGAUAGGAGCUCCUGCUGCAUGGUGGGGGUUGGAAAGUUUCGGCGGUUGGGGAUGGACUCGCGGCUUAUCAGCUUGUUGGUGGGGUAGUGGCUUACCAAGGCUUUGACGGGUAGCCGGCCUGAGAGGGUGACCGGCCACAUUGGGACUGAGAUACGGCCCAG
This 253-nucleotide ribosomal RNA is filed under the name uncultured Actinomycetales bacterium. RNAcentral's name for it is "partial 16S ribosomal RNA". It matches the Rfam family "Bacterial small subunit ribosomal RNA", at positions 79 to 334 of the family's 1533-position model. Lineage: Bacteria; Bacillati; Actinomycetota; Actinomycetes; Actinomycetales. The record is from RNAcentral.